RNAcentral lists this unclassified non-coding RNA (21 nucleotides) under Mus musculus (house mouse). Its description in RNAcentral is "oocyte_clustered_small_RNA378". Lineage: Eukaryota; Metazoa; Chordata; Mammalia; Rodentia; Muridae. The record is from RNAcentral.
UACAUGCACUGAGCACCGCAC